This 95-nucleotide non-coding RNA is filed under the name Thalassovita taeanensis. RNAcentral describes it as "Litorimicrobium taeanense TPP sequence". It matches the Rfam family "TPP riboswitch aptamer (THI element)". From Rfam's summary of the family: Vitamin B(1) in its active form thiamin pyrophosphate (TPP) is an essential coenzyme that is synthesised by coupling of pyrimidine and thiazole moieties in bacteria. The previously detected thiamin-regulatory element, thi box was extended, resulting in a new, highly conserved RNA secondary structure, the THI element, which is widely distributed in eubacteria and also occurs in some archaea. The record is from Rfam by way of RNAcentral. Lineage: Bacteria; Pseudomonadati; Pseudomonadota; Alphaproteobacteria; Rhodobacterales; Roseobacteraceae.
ACGUUGUGACAGGGGCGUCCGGAUUGCCGGGCUGAGAAGCACCCUUUGAACCUGAACCAGAUCAUGCUGGCGGAGGAAGUCGCGGUUUCAGCCCC